CACUUCUAAUGAGUAGCUGAUCAGACUGCAUUGCACAUUCAAUUAGCUUAAUAAAUAGCCUUCAUUUCACUUCUGCGUACAGAGGGAACUGGGGCUGUGUGAGUAAACUAUACAUGUAUGUUUUAAACAUAUAGAUAGAUAUAUAAACAUAUAUGUGCAUAUUAAAUAGGAGAGAGAGGGAGAUAGCUCUGUACACAUGUGUGCCUAUAUAUAGUGACUGCCUAUAGACAGAGAAUACCAGUGUUCUUAGAAUGUCUGUGUUUCUGUAUCAUUCUGUGUGAAUAGAAUUCCGGAGAAGUCAUGUAGUUACAAUGUGACAGGUUUUCAGUGACUUUGUCUCCUUGAGUUGGACCCUCUUGUCCCUGUGCCUCGUGUGAGCUUUUUUUUCUUUGUCCUGUGACCUUGGGCAAGCUGUACAGCUGAUCUGCUAUGUCUGUCAUAGAAAUAUGUAGGACACGUGUGAGUGACACCAACGAACAGCCAAGAGAAAGUACCAUGUCCUUCAAACGACCUUCACUCCAAGAACGCCUUCUUGCAGCCAAUCCAAGUACUCCCUGCUGGAGGAAACAGCGUUAGCAGGAUCGGUGCACUUCUAAGAAAAUCACAUAAAUUCAAUCGAGCGUUACACAUAUAUUUUUUU
Pelobates cultripes (western spadefoot toad) is the source of this 640-nucleotide non-coding RNA. The record is from the annotation of a GenBank genome assembly. Lineage: Eukaryota; Metazoa; Chordata; Amphibia; Anura; Pelobatidae.